CUCAGUGGGUUUUGCAAUAAACAGGGGAACAAGGGCCGAUUUCCGGUCAUCCAUCCAGGAACGCAAGAUCAACAAAUCGGGAACCAUUUCGAGGGAGCUUCUUUACCUUUGAAAUUUCGCGACUGAACAUGGCGAUCGUGAACACUCGUCCCGCGGUUCAAGUGAGUUUUUGCCAGCCUCAAUUUUCGAACGACUCUCGACUUUUUAUUCGACUUGCCAUCGCCGUAAUUCAAUUUGACGUUCGAUUAAAAAUAAAUCAAUGGGAAAGAGAUAGUAGAUAUGUCAACGAGAUUGAACAAAAAAAAAAACAGAGUGAAUAGGGGCCGUGAAUCCGAUUAACUUUGGAAAGCGCAAAUUAUCCCAAAAGCGUGUCUGAAAAUGCUUUCAAUCUCCGUUUAAACGAGAGAGAGAGAGAAAGAUAGAGGAGAAAAAAAACGUAGCCGCGAUAUUCGAAUUGGUGAAAAAUUCAUGGUCGAGCACAGGUGCGAUAGGAUAGCGUUUACGGCGGGGGAAAAAAAAAGGAAAAAGCGGUUCGAAAUAGACGACCAACUACGACUUUAUUGAAGCAUCGAUAUAAUACCAUCAAGAUUGGGAUUUCAUCAAACAUAUCGACGCUUUCGAAACUUAGAAUGACCACUCGUUUCGUUCCUCUUCCACGUACAUACUUUAUUU
This is a long non-coding RNA of Apis dorsata (giant honeybee), 672 nucleotides long. RefSeq lists it as uncharacterized. NCBI's taxonomy places the organism in Eukaryota, Metazoa, Arthropoda, Insecta, Hymenoptera, Apidae. The transcript has 2 exons. The record is from RefSeq and is a predicted model, not a curated record.